Long non-coding RNA from Salmo salar (Atlantic salmon), 318 nucleotides. RefSeq lists it as uncharacterized. The record is from RefSeq and is a predicted model, not a curated record. NCBI's taxonomy places the organism in Eukaryota, Metazoa, Chordata, Actinopteri, Salmoniformes, Salmonidae.
CCUGUGCUGGCUUGUCCAUCUCGUUAGUGGGAAGGUGUUUCACCUGAGCUGGUCCAGGUUCUAUUUAAGAGUGUCUGGCCCAGUGCUCCAGUUGUCUUGAUAGAUGUGGAGAGGUAACACCUUUAGUUGAGCCAACUUUUGGUUUUCUUCCUGAUCCUGCUUCCUGUCUGUAAGGACAGAACAUGGACACAAUGCAAUUGGGAUCAAGAAGAAGAUCUAGUCAGAAAUGAACAAAGUCCAUGGAAUGGAUAUGGACACAAAGAGAAUUCAAGGACUAUCAGAGGUAGAGAGGCGAGGCAGGGGACUGGAGACCACAGC